GGCAACCCUGAUCCAGCCAUGCCGCGUGUGUGAAGAAGGCCUUAGGGUUGUAAAGCACUUUCAGUAGGGAGGAAGGCCCAGUAGUUAAUACCUGCAGGGAUUGACGUUACCUACAGAAGCAGCACCGGCUAACUCCGUGCCAGCAGCCGCGGUAAUACGGAGGGUGCAAGCGUUAAUCGGAAUUACUGGGCGUAAAGCGCGCGUAGCGGUUUGUUAAGUGAGAUGUGAAAGCCCAGGGCUCAACCUUGGAACUGCAUCUCAUACUGGCAGGCUAAGUACGGUAUUAUGUGUGUUUUAUUUCC
RNAcentral lists this ribosomal RNA (302 nucleotides) under uncultured beta proteobacterium. RNAcentral describes it as "bacterial SSU rRNA". It matches the Rfam family "Bacterial small subunit ribosomal RNA", at positions 376 to 671 of the family's 1533-position model. Lineage: Bacteria; Pseudomonadati; Pseudomonadota; Betaproteobacteria. The record is from RNAcentral.